Molecule: long non-coding RNA, 2076 nt
Organism: Sycon ciliatum
Lineage: Eukaryota; Metazoa; Porifera; Calcarea; Leucosolenida; Sycettidae
Exons: 3
Source: RefSeq, a predicted model, not a curated record
UGGCCCGCCGAUGCAGUGGUGUGUCGCCGAUACAGUGGUGUCUCGCCGAUGCAGUGGUGUCUCGCCGAUGAAGUGGUGUCUCGCCGAUGGUGUGGUGGCCCGCCGAUGCGAAUGUCUUUGCUUGAUGUGUUCCUCAACACGUCAGGUGAUACGGCCGCGAAUCCGGCUAACUUUAAAUGUAUGUGUGUGUUGGAGGGUCGGGGAUUGAGUCAAAAAGACAGUAAUCUGUUGUUCGGCGAAUAUUUAUUAUCGGCUAUUUUCGGCCGAAAGUUUGCUGCUCCCCAAAUUUUCUUUUGCAAGGUUCUGUGUGAAUGUUUAUACAGACAGCAGCAGUACAGGCUGAAAAUGUAAUGCAGCUGAAAUGUGUUUUAUCCCCGGGAGACCGAAAUUUGAAUGUGCCGAGAAUUGCUAGACUUACAGUAGGUUGAUGAAUAUGGUUUCUUUACAGUGACAAGAACUUGUGUUACCAUGGUUACUGUUUCUGUAUUGCUGUACAGAGGCAGCAUUGUGCCUUGCCAUGAUCAACACAGAAUAUACAAGACUUAGUGCAGUUGAGGCUGAUGCGCCGGUUGACAAGAUUAGAGGGGCUAAGGACGACAGCAGCAGGCCGGAUGCUGAACAGACUGCACAUGUUGAAGCGGUUUGCGUAGCCAGCAUAUGAACAGGCAAGAUCGAGGAGCAAGUGAUCACCCAUACCUGGUCAUAUUGGUGUGAAGUCAGCCAUGACUAGUGGUUGUGUUCUGGGAGCAUGCUGUCAUCUGACCAGUCAAGAAACACUGCCUGAGAAUACGGUAGUGUUUGGCGAGUGCUAUCAGCGUCGAGUGCAAGGUGAUAAACCCACGGCAACGACAUUACAGCUGGACUUCCUAACAAAGAUAUUGCCAAACUACCAUCACCUGCAGACGUUACAGUCGGCAGCAGCAGCAGCAAUAUCUUGACCAAAGGUAUCCUUGCCCCAUCCACCUAACGUGGCCCUGUGUUUUUUUGCUGCAAACCCGCAUUCGCUGAACACGAGGCCUAAGAUGUAAUUGACUAGAUCAAAUCACUGGGUACGCUAUCAAAACCUAUCAAUUUCCUCUGUAUGUUCUGCUGUGGGACAUGUUAUCGUGUCUCAUUCUUUCACAUGCUGAUCAAAUAGCACAGAUAUUGUUUUAACAUUGUACUCAGCAGAGUAAUGCUGGUGUGUGUAUUUACACACAGCUAGAUCAUUGUCACAUUCAUGUGCAUUGGCUGACUCGAUGGUUUAUAUAAUUAUGCACCACAGGCUGAUAUGGGUAACCAUUCAUGACAUCUCUCCUGAGGUGCGUUGUACACACAUUUCUAACCUAUUGCUUGGAUAUGCUGGUUCUAGGCGGUAUCCCGUUACUAGGAAAUGCCCACGCAAGGCUAUAAUCUCUGUUUCUAGGAAAUGUUGGUUCUAGGCUAUAAUAAUUAUUAGGGCUCAAACGGUUAGUCCGAUUAUCCGGUUGCAGACCGGUUACGAAGAAUUUACGGUUAAUCGAUAAAGAUAACGGUUACGCAGUAACUUUUCAGUCAAAUUUUCGAGGAUCAGGUCGUUGCAAAGUAUGCACUUUCGCAGGCUGUCGCACGCGUACGCAAUUUCUGGGCUGUGAACUCGGUCAUAUCUGGUCUCUUGGUGUGAGAGUAUGUAUGAAUGAGCAUGCAAGAGAAUGUACAUGUGUGAGUUGUACUGGAUAGGGUACAUUUUUUGAAUGAGUAUAGUCAAAUAUACGGUUAAAAAAGAGUCCGCAGGAUUGCCGUGGCUUAUAGGUUAUAGCCGUUGAACCGACCGUUAGCUCAGCAGUUAACCGUUAGGGGUAAAACCGUGACCGUUUGAGCCCUAAUUAUUAUGCAGUUGGCAUCCCUCAGUCUGGCAUGCUGAAAUUUUCAAGUCGACGCUCCACGACUGCCUUCUAUAUUUGGAUUUCGUUGAUGUGGCAAACAAUUGCCGCUGCUUUUAACACUGUAGUUAACAUACACAUGAUUUGCUUCUUAUCUGGACAGUGUUUUUGUGUGCUAUUCUGACAUGGUUCUUGUGUCGUGUGAUCAAGCCAAGAACACUGCUUUUCUGCUGUU